CAAUAGCAUUAUGUUGUAAGGCCGUAGUUCCUUCAGUGCGUGUAAGGACGGUACUGGUAGGAAGUUUUAAUUUGUUUGUUAGUGCAAGUUUUCUGAUCAAAGUGACUUGAAUUCAGUUUUGAUAAGAACAUGAAGUGAUAUCUUUGAUGUGUAAGACAACAGCUGUGUUUAUAAAGCCAUUGCAACAUAGGUGAAGUGCUGUGUAAUAUAAAACCGAUCAGACUGCUGGACUCUGCGUCUGGAAUAGUGGUUCGGGAUGAGUCAUGUGCGGUCAUGUUUGUCUAGCUUCAGCUCUUGUGGGGCUUGUGGGUGAUGGUGAACCGAUUUCAGAGGACAUUGGUGACGUCACAGACAACGCCGUCGAAGUUGAGGUAGUUGAGGGAGCUGGUAUCUCUGAAAAGGACCACUUUGACGGCGAGGCGGGCGACUUUUCCUGGCCAACAAACAACUGCGUACAGAAGCGCUGUGCCAUACUUGAUGACUUUUACAGCCCACUACUAGCGGGACAAAGACCGGCUGGAAAUAUACUCACACUGCAGACAGGGAGAAAUUGAACUUGUAACGCGACGCGGGAAUUUAUGAAGA
Cryptotermes secundus is the source of this 585-nucleotide long non-coding RNA. RefSeq lists it as uncharacterized. The transcript is spliced from 3 exons. The record is from RefSeq and is a predicted model, not a curated record. Lineage: Eukaryota; Metazoa; Arthropoda; Insecta; Blattodea; Kalotermitidae.